RNAcentral lists this ribosomal RNA (681 nucleotides) under uncultured bacterium. Its description in RNAcentral is "bacterial SSU rRNA". It matches the Rfam family "Bacterial small subunit ribosomal RNA", at positions 814 to 1498 of the family's 1533-position model. The record is from RNAcentral.
UGUUAGUCGUCGGAGGGCUAGUCUCUUCGGUGAUGCAGCUAACGCAUUAAACAUUCCGCCUGGGGAGUACGGUCGCAAGAUUAAAACUCAAAGGAAUAGACGGGGACCCGCACAAGUGGUGGAGCAUGUGGUUUAAUUCGAAGAUACGCGAAGAACCUUACCUGGCCUUGACAUCCCAAGAACCCUCCAGAGAUGGAGGGGUGCCCCUUUUGGGGAACUUGGUGACAGGUGCUGCACGGCUGUCGUCAGCUCGUGUCGUGAGAUGUUGGGUUAAGUCCCGCAACGAGCGCAACCCUCGUGUUUAGUUGCUAACAGUUCGGCUGAGCACUCUAGACAGACUGCCUCCGCAAGGAGGAGGAAGGUGAGGACGACGUCAAGUCAUCAUGGUCCUUACGGCCAGGGCGACACACGUGCUACAAUGGGUAGGACAAUGAGAGGCAAUACCGCGAGGUGGAGCAAAUCUAUAAACCUACUCUUAGUUCGGAUUGUAGUCUGCAACUCGACUACAUGAAGCUGGAAUCACUAGUAAUCGUAGAUCAGCCAUGCUACGGUGAAUACGUUCCCGGGUCUUGUACUCACCGCCCGUCACACCAUGGGAGUUGAGUUCACCCGAAGCGGGGAAGCUAAACUGGCUACCUGCCACGGUGGGCUCAGCGACUGGGGUGAAGUCGUAACAAGGUA